AAGGAACCCGGUGCGAAUCCGGGGCGGUCCCGCCACUGUGACCGGGUAGCUCAAACCAGCGGGCUCCCGUGGCCGCUGCCGCAGCCGGGGUGGUCCCGCGCCUGCCGGCGGUCGGGGAGCGCGUCGUGGUGGCCACGGCCGCGCGGGCGGCUGGAAGGCCGGGGCGAGCGCUGAUCCGGGAGCCAGGAGACUU
Molecule: non-coding RNA, 193 nt
Filed under: Carbonactinospora thermoautotrophica
Lineage: Bacteria; Bacillati; Actinomycetota; Actinomycetes; Kitasatosporales; Carbonactinosporaceae
Source: RNAcentral